GCACAGGAAAUGAUGCUAGGAGGAGUGGGCGUGGUCAAAGGGUGGGAGGGAAGUAUUGGGAGCUCCGAGCCCCUCCGCGAAAGGGGGCGUGGCCUCGCCACCGAGGGGCGGGCUUUGUGACGCCUUCGCGGGCUGGCCGGGGAGAUUUGAAAACUGGAACUAGCCUAGGCUUAAGUGAGAAACUUUUCCUGCAUUUCUCGCUUUGAACUUGUUUACCUUGCCCUGUUCCGUUCUGUUGCCAAGUCUCCUUCAGGCUUACUUGUCUUGCUGCAGAACCUGCGUGAGAUGGAAUUCUGUGCAAGGAAAUGCCACGCUUGAAUGUACCUUGAGAUGUGAAGCAUGACAAGAACUAGCACCCAAGAACUCAUCAGGAUAAAAACAGUCUGACAGCAGCUGCCCUGGGGGCCAGCCCCUCUCCUGCUAGCCAUCAACAUGAAGAUGCUCCUGGGCUGAAGAGGUGGCAGCUUUCCAGGCAUAACCAGUGUUCUUGUUUACUGGGUGUAACUUCAGGAUGAGUUUAUAAAGUGAGAUCGUGGGACUGAUUAAAAGGUGGA
Long non-coding RNA from Cervus elaphus (red deer), 554 nucleotides. RefSeq lists it as uncharacterized. The record is from RefSeq and is a predicted model, not a curated record. The transcript is spliced from 3 exons. Lineage: Eukaryota; Metazoa; Chordata; Mammalia; Artiodactyla; Cervidae.